UCUGGUCCAGACUCAGUUAUUUACAGACCGCCGCCAUAUAGCUGGAAUGAGGCAUUAAACAACAACCAAACCAAAGCUGAUGGAGCCUCUUUGUUAUUACCCUGGUCAAUGGAUCACAGAGUGGCUUACACCAUGCGAGUGAGUGAGAUUAUUUUAAGCAGCUUUUAGCAAUAUUCCAGCAAUAUCACAGCGGGAAACACCAGAAAUGGGCUACACACCUUGUGCCCAUGUAGGGAAUCGAACCCGGGUCUUCGGCUUGAGGAGUGAACACUUUAACCACUAGGCUACCCCAUGGUAUGUAGUAACUUGGGAUGAUAUAGUGGUGAUCUGAGGUGAAGUAGUUGUAGUGAGGCAGGUGGGGAAUGAAAUUAAGGAUUAUUACGCUUAAGUGUAAUUGCUACAGUACUUGUAUUCUUCUGUGUGAGAUGGAAAAGAAUGUGGUGAACGGAGCUCGCCAUGACUACAUUGUUGUUUUGUUUCUGUUCAUAAUGGUAAUGUAAUUUUUGUAUAUAGCACAUUGAAUAAACUCACAUAUAUGAUAAAUAGCCUGUGAAGAUUCUUGUGUACGUUACACAAAUUAUGUUGUCUUGAAAUACAAUUCCUGAAAAUUUGACAAAC
This is a long non-coding RNA of Haliotis rubra (blacklip abalone), 618 nucleotides long. RefSeq lists it as uncharacterized. The transcript has 2 exons. NCBI's taxonomy places the organism in Eukaryota, Metazoa, Mollusca, Gastropoda, Lepetellida, Haliotidae. The record is from RefSeq and is a predicted model, not a curated record.